CAUGCCGCGUGUGUGAAGAAGGCUUUCGGGUUGUAAAGCACUUUCAGUGAGGAGGAAAGUUAGUCGUUAAUACCGGCUAGCCUUGACGUUACUCACAGAAGAAGCACCGGCUAACUCCGUGCCAGCCACGGCGGUGACUGAGCGGGCUGGCAAGGCGCAUA
Molecule: ribosomal RNA, 161 nt
Filed under: uncultured bacterium
Lineage: Bacteria
Description: partial 16S ribosomal RNA
Rfam family: Bacterial small subunit ribosomal RNA
Source: RNAcentral